RNAcentral lists this ribosomal RNA (1535 nucleotides) under uncultured bacterium. Its description in RNAcentral is "bacterial SSU rRNA". It matches the Rfam family "Bacterial small subunit ribosomal RNA". The record is from RNAcentral.
AGAGUUUGAUCCUGGCUCAGAUUGAACGCUGGCGGCAGGCCUAACACAUGCAAGUCGAGCGGCAGCGGAAGGAAGCUUGCUUCCUUGCCGGCGAGCGGCGGACGGGUGAGUAAGGUAUGGGGAUCUGGCCGAAGGCGGGGGAUAACCACUGGAAACGGUGGCUAAUACCGCAUAAUCUCUAAGGAGCAAAGUGGGGGACCAUUAUGGCCUCACACCUUCGGAUGAACCCAUAUGAGAUUAGCUAGUAGGUGGGGUAAAGGCUCACCUAGGCGACGAUCUCUAGCUGGUCUGAGAGGAUGAUCAGCCACACUGGGACUGAGACACGGCCCAGACUCCUGCGGGAGGCAGCAGUGGGGAAUAUUGCACAAUGGGCGCAAGCCUGAUGCAGCCAUGCCGCGUGUAUGAAGAAGGCCUUCGGGUUGUAAAGUACUUUCAGUCGUGAGGAAGGUGUUAAGGUUAAUAGCCUUAGCAAUUGACGUUAGCGACAGAAGAAGCACCGGCUAACUCCGUGCCAGCAGCCGCGGUAAUACGGAGGGUGCGAGCGUUAAUCGAAAUUACUGGGCGUAAAGGGCACGCAGGCGGUUAAUUAAGUUGGAUGUGAAAUCCCCGGGCUUAACCUGGGAAUGGCAUUCAAGACUGGUUAGCUAGAGUCUUGUAGAGGGGGGUAGAAUUCCAUGUGUAGCGGUGAAAUGCGUAGAGAUGUGGAGGAAUACCGGUGGCGAAGGCGGCUCCCUGGACAAAGACUGACGCUCAUGUGCGAAAGCGUGGGGAGCAAACAGGAUUAGAUACCCUGGUAGUCCACGCUGUAAACGAUGUCGAUUUGGAGGUUGUGGUCUAGAACUGUGGCCUCCGGAGCUAACGCGUUAAAUCGACCGCCUGGGGAGUACGGCCGCAAGGUUAAAACUCAAAUGAAUUGACGGGGGCCCGCACAAGCGGUGGAGCAUGUGGUUUAAUUCGAUGCAACGCGAAGAACCUUACCUACUCUUGACAUCCAGCGAAGCCUUUAGAGAUAGAGGUGUGCCUUCGGGAGCGCUGAGACAGGUGCUGCAUGGCUGUCGUCAGCUCGUGUUGUGAAAUGUUGGGUUAAGUCCCGCAACGAGCGCAGCCCUUAUCCUUUGUUGCCAGCGAUUCGGUCGGGAACUCAAAGGAGACUGCCGGUGAUAAACCGGAGGAAGGUGGGGAUGACGUCAAGUCAUCAUGGCCCUUACGAGUAGGGCUACACACGUGCUACAAUGGCGUAUACAGAGAGAGGCGAGCCUGCGAGGGGAAGCGGAACUCAGAAAGUACGUCAAAGUCCGGAUUGGAGUCUGCAACUCGACUCCAUGAAGUCGGAAUCGCUAGUAAUCGCGGAUCAGCAUGUCGCGGUGAAUCCGUUCCCGGGCCUUGUACACACCGCCCGUCACACCAUGGGAGUGGGUUGCAAAAGAAGUAGGUAGCUUAACCUUUUGGAUGGCGCUUACCACUUUGUGAUUCAUGACUGGGGUGAAGUCGUAACAAUGCGGACUCAUUAUAGGGAGCAUGCGGCUGGAUCACCU